This 83-nucleotide transfer RNA is filed under the name compost metagenome. RNAcentral's name for it is "tRNA-Tyr". It matches the Rfam family "tRNA". Rfam says of the family: Transfer RNA (tRNA) molecules are approximately 80 nucleotides in length. The record is from RNAcentral.
GGGUGGAUAGCCAAGUCUGGUCAAAGGCGCCUGACUGUAAAUCAGGUCUUUCGAGUUCGGGGGUUCGAAUCCCUCUCCGCCCA